RNAcentral lists this ribosomal RNA (253 nucleotides) under uncultured bacterium. RNAcentral describes it as "partial 16S ribosomal RNA". It matches the Rfam family "Archaeal small subunit ribosomal RNA", at positions 474 to 727 of the family's 1478-position model. The record is from RNAcentral.
UACCUGCAGCCCGAGUGGUGGCCGUUAUUAUUGGGCCUAAACCGUCCGUAGCCUGUUUGGUAGAUGCCUGUGUAAAUCGAACGGCUCAACCGUUCGAACUGCGGGUAGACCGCCAGACUUGGGACCGGGAGAGUCACGAAGUACUCCGGGGGUAGAGGUGAAAUUCUGUAAUCCUCGGGGGACUACCGGUGGCGAAGGCGUCGUGAUAGAACGGCUCCGACGGUGAGGGACGAAGCCCUGGGGCGCAAACCGG